This 397-nucleotide ribosomal RNA is filed under the name uncultured bacterium. RNAcentral's name for it is "partial 16S ribosomal RNA". It matches the Rfam family "Bacterial small subunit ribosomal RNA", at positions 28 to 526 of the family's 1533-position model. The record is from RNAcentral.
GACGAACGCUGGCGGCGUGCUUAACACAUGCAAGUCGAACGAAGUGGCGAACGGGUGAGUAAUACGUGGGUAACCUGCCCUCCUUUUUGGGAUAAGCCUUGGAAACGGGGACUAAUACUGACUAAAGGGGGAUGGGCUCGCGGCCUAUCAGAUUGUUGGUGGGGUGAUGGCCUACCAAGGCGGUGACGGGUAGCCGGCCUGAGAGGGUAACCGGCCACAUUUGGAGUGAGAUACGGCCGAGACACCUACGGGAGGGAGCAGUAGGGGAUAUUGCGCAAUGGGGGAAACCCUGACGCAGCAACGCCGCGUGGAGGAUGACACUUUUCGGAGCGUAAACUCCUUUCGGUACCUAACGAAUAAGCACCGGCUAACUCCGUGCCAGCAGCCGCGGUAAUAC